Molecule: long non-coding RNA, 1177 nt
Organism: Triticum aestivum (bread wheat)
Lineage: Eukaryota; Viridiplantae; Streptophyta; Magnoliopsida; Poales; Poaceae
Exons: 7
Source: RefSeq, a predicted model, not a curated record
GAAACAGAGCCUCCGAUUGCCCUGGUCUCUCCCAAAUCGCCGCCACCAACCGUCUCCUCUCCCUCCUCCGCCCCACCUCGCCGCCGGCCCUUCUCCUUCCAAUCUCCCACCUCGCAACCCCGGAGGCUACCGGAUCCGCCGCACCCCCACCCACCCAUCCCUCGCGCGUCCAAUUUCUCUCUUCACGCGGCUCCUCGUCGCGCCACCGGCAGUGGCUGCUUCCGGCGACGUUCGGCCAAUCCCGCCACCGCGGAACACAUCCCGAGGUCCUCUCGCAUCGCGGCACCGGCGAUGUCGUCCUCGUCUCAUCCGACGUGCAGGGAGGAACGGCCACUGGACAGCCUUGCUGCUGCUCGGGACGAAGCAACCAUGUAGCUUUCUCCUCCUCCUCUGGCUUCGGAACUCGGAGGAGAAAUCAGAAUUGUCGUCAAAGUAACAACUAUGAAAGAGAUAAAAAGGUGCAUGGAGAAGGAUGUUAACGGAGUGACAAAGGUUGCAAAACUCAACGGAAUCAAAAUGACAACACUAGAAUAAAGAGCUCCAUGUACCAUCGAGCCUGUGUGGAUUAUUUGCAGCAGCAAGUGCCGAACGGCAGCAGCUUGCAUGUGCACGAUGGUAUGGAAGGUUAAUCAUGAUGAUUGCAUACAAAAUACGUAUGCCCCUGUUGCAACGCACGGCAAUUACCUAGUAUAUUUUUAAAAUUAGAAAUGUACAAUCUGAUGCAUCUACACGAAAAGACAUGAAGUUGACUGGAUAAGUUGCAUGCACCAACUGGAUGGAAGGGGACGCUAUGGAGCAAGUCGAGUUCGUGGAGCAAGUCAUGGAUGAUGCCAUGGAAGAUUCAAAAGAUAUAUGGAUGAUUAUAUGGGUGCGUGACAAGUAUACUGCAAUUAUGUGAUGAUGAUGUUCCGGUUCAUGAUGAUGAUGAUGUUCUGGUUCAUGAUGAUGAUGAUGAUGGAUGCUUUCAGUUUUAGUUAAGUUGUAGGGAUGUUGUUCUUGUUGGAUGUUGUUCCUAGGUUAAGUUUUUGUUAAGUUGUAGGGAUGUUGAUGAAUGCUUUCAGUUUAAGUUUCGCUGUCAAAAAUAUAUUUAGAUUAUGCAUCACAUUUGGAUGAUGUACCCCUUUAAUAUCCACUAUUGUAAUCCAACAGUUUUAUCAAUAUAUAUGUUUUCUUUCUC